CACUCCUGCGGGAGGCAGCAGUGGGGAAUUUUGGACAAUGGGCGAAAGCCUGAUCCAGCAAUGCCGCGUGAGUGAAGAAGGCCUUCGGGUUGUAAAGCUCUUUUGUCAGGGAAGAAACGGUGAAAGCUAAUAUCUUUUGCUAAUGACGGUACCUGAAGAAUAAGCACCGGCUAACUACGUGCCAGCAGCCGCGGUAAUACGUAGGGUGCAAGCGUUAAUCGGAAUUACUGGGCGUAAAGCGUGCGCAGGCGGUUUUGUAAGUCUGAUGUGAAAUCCCCGGGCUCAACCUGGGAAUUGCAUUGGAGACUGCAAGGCUAGAAUCUGGCAGAGGGGGGUAGAAGUCCACGUGUAGCAGUGAAAUGCGUAGAUAUGUGGAGGAACACCGAUGGCGAAGGCAGCCCCCUGGGUCAAGAUUGACGCUCAUGCACGAAAGCGUGGGGAGCAAACAGGAUUAGAAACCCCUGUAGUCCCAUGAU
RNAcentral lists this ribosomal RNA (476 nucleotides) under uncultured organism. Its description in RNAcentral is "partial 16S ribosomal RNA". It matches the Rfam family "Bacterial small subunit ribosomal RNA", at positions 334 to 801 of the family's 1533-position model. The record is from RNAcentral.